This 4215-nucleotide ribosomal RNA is filed under the name Triticum aestivum (bread wheat). RNAcentral's name for it is "partial small subunit ribosomal RNA". Lineage: Eukaryota; Viridiplantae; Streptophyta; Magnoliopsida; Poales; Poaceae. The record is from RNAcentral.
AUGACCGAGCACACAAAUCGUGCAAAAUACAGACUUCCAAGACAAAAAGGAGAGAAAGAGAUAAUAAAGGGAGAAGAAAUAAGAGGGCAGGACCGUCUUUUCCGUCCCCCUUCUUCCUUGCGAGCACAGGGUUUUCUUCCGCCGCUCCCCCCAAUCCAUCCAUCGAUUCCCAUCCGCCGCCGCCGCCGUCUUCCAGCCCCCACCCCCACCUCCAGUCUAGACCCCGCGCGCCGCGCCGAUGGGGCGCAAGAAAAACGUCGCCAUCGACGACGACGAGUACUCCCUGCCGCAGGACGACGAGGCCGCCCCCCCGCCGCCCCCCCGCCGCCCCCCGCCGCCGCCGCGGAGAAGGAGAAGCCGCCGCCCAAGAAGGGCGGCAAGAAGGGCGGCAAGUCCGCCGCGCACGACGACGACGACGACUACGAGCCCGCCCCGCCUCCCCCGCCGGCGGGCGAGGAGGACGACGAGCCGAUCAACGUCGUCUUCACCGGCAAGAAGAAGAAGAAGAAGGGUGGCGCGGGCGGGGGCGGGAUGAGCGCCUUCGACGCCCUCGCGGCCGCCGAGGACCAGGAUGAGGACGAGGCCCCUGCCUCCACCACCGCAUCCGAGCUCGAGGCCGGUAGGUCUGAGGCCAGCGGCGAUCUCGACGACGUCGACCUCGAUUUCGACUUCAGCAAGUCCAAGAAGAAAAAGAAGAAGGGCAAGGGAGCUCGCCUGUCCGCCGAGGAGGACGAGGAGGCGGCUGCUGCUGCUGCGGCGGCGCCCCCAGCUGCUGCCGAGGAAGAGGAGGAGCAGGAGGCUGCGGCCAUGGCUGCCAAGAAGCCACAGAAGAAGAAGAAAAAGAAGGGUGGGUUUACUGUGGACGAUGAGGACAUCGACAAGCUCCUGGCCGAGAUGGAGGAUCCUCCCCAACCAGCAAAGGAGGCUGAGCCGGAGGAGGCUAAAGGUGGGGAUUCUCUGGCUGCCCCAGAUGCCGAUGAUGCCGGCGGAAAGAAAUCGAAGAAGAAGAAAAAGAAGGGAGGGUUUACUGUCGACGAUGAGGACAUUGACAAGCUCCUUGCAGAGAUUGAGGACCGGCCUGCUGCCGCUGAGGAGCCUGAGCCCAAGUCAGCCAAGGCAGAGGAUACUGUGGCUGCUGCUCCUGCUGCGACCAGUGUGGAUGAUGCUGAAGGGAAGAAAUCAAAGAAGAAAAAGAAGAAGAGCGGAAGGACAGCACAGGAAGAGGAGGAUCUGGACAAGCUUCUUGCUGAGCUCGGUGAAGGACCGGCACCGGCACCGGAGAAGGAGAAACCAUCCCAGGCAGCGCCUUCCGCUCCAGCAGUGAAGGAGGACGCUGAAACUGCGGAGGAUGGUAAUGCAGAGCAGAAGGCCGGGGAAGGAGAGGUAGAGUCCGCUGCAGCCAAGAAGAAAAAGAAGAAGAAAGAAAAAGAGAAGGAGAAGAAGGCAGCAGCAAAGGGGACAGAGGCUAAGAAGGAGGAGGAAAAGGAGCCAGAGGCGCCUAAAGGCAAGGUUGACAUGAAGAAGCUCCCAAAGCAUGUCCGGGAGAUGCAGGAGGCUCUUUUGAAGAGGCAGGAAGCCGAGGAGCGGAGGAAGAAAGAGGAGGAAGAACGUUUGAGGAAGGAGGAAGAGGAGCGUUUGAGGAAAGAGGAGGAGGAGAAGAAGGCAGAGGAAGCAAAGAGGAGGAAGAAGGAGAGGGAAAAGGAGAAGCUGCUCAAGAAGAAGCAGGAAGGUAAGCUUUUAACAGGGAAGCAGAAGGAGGAGGCCAAGCGGUUAGAAGCCAUGAGGAGACAAUUCCUUGGUGAGAGUGAAGUUCCAGUAGCUGAUGGGGCUGCCCCUGAGAUUAAGAAGAGGCCAAAGUAUGAUAGCAAGAAGAAAAAAGUUCAAACAAAGGCUUCAGAGGCCCAGAAGGUAGCUGAAGAACAACAGCAAGAGGUAAAUGAAGCCAACAUUGACGAGGAAGAGUAUGUCAUAGUGGACCAGGAAUCUCAGUCUCAGGUGGCAGAAUCUGAGACAAAAACAGAACCCGACCAAGAGGUGGAAGAGGCAAAACAAGAAGAGGAGGAAGAUGAAGAUUACUGGGAUGCAAAGAGCUGGGAUGAUAUCGAUGUGGGUUUGUCGAAGACAAGUGCUUUCGAGGAGGAAGAGGAGAAGGAGGACAAGCCUGUUGCCACGAAGCAGGAAAUUUCUAAACCGCAACCUGUAGUGCCUGCUGUAAAAAAUGUUGCUCCGCCUGUUGACAACUCUAAAAAGAGUGAAACUGAAAAUGUGCGUGCCAACAAUGGAGUUGCUAAAAAGAAAGGGAAGAAAGGAUCUUCUAAAGAUGAUGAUGCUGACAAUGCUAGCGACCUCCGUUCACCAAUCUGUUGCAUCCUUGGUCAUGUUGAUACUGGAAAGACAAAGCUGCUGGACUGUAUUAGACGAACUAAUGUACAAGAAGGAGAAGCUGGCGGUAUUACUCAACAGAUUGGAGCUACAUACUUCCCAACUGAGAAUAUUAGAGAGAGAACAAGGGAAUUGAAGGCUGAUGCUACUCUCAAGGUUCCAGGCCUGCUUGUUAUUGAUACUCCUGGCCAUGAGUCCUUCAGUAAUCUGCGUUCUAGAGGUUCAAGUUUGUGCGACAUUGCUAUUUUGGUUGUCGACAUUAUGCAUGGGCUUGAACCCCAGACAAUCGAAUCCCUGAAUCUCUUGAAAAGUCGAGAUGCAGUAUUUAUCGUUGCUUUGAACAAGGUACUAUUCUUGGAUUUUUGUCCCUUUGACUUUCGGCUUCCUUACUGUUCUGCUAUUUACUUGUUUGUUUCUUAUCACUGUAUGAAGGUUGAUCGUCUUUAUGGUUGGAAGACCUGCCCCAAUGCUCCUAUCGGGAAAGCCUUGAGACAACAAAAUGAUGAUGUCAAGUUGGAGUUCAAUACGAGGCUUACUGAUAUUGUGACACAAUUCAAGAUGCAAGGUGUGAAUACUGCUUUGUACUACAAGAACAAAGAGAUGGAAGAUACAUUUAACAUUGUGCCUACCAGUGCAGUAAGUGGUGAAGGCAUUCCUGAUCUGCUUCUACUAUUGGUGCAAUGGGCACAAAAGACGAUGGAAGAAAAGCUUACUUUUGUUGAUGAAGUCCAGUGUACUGUCCUGGAAGUCAAGGUCAUCGAAGGUCAUGGCACUACAGUUGAUGUUGUGCUGGUCAAUGGUAUGCUCCAUGAAGGAGAUCAAAUAGUCGUGUGUGGCAUGCAGGGACCCAUUGUGACAACCAUCAGAGCUUUGUUAACACCACACCCGAUGAAGGAGCUUCGAGUUAAGGGCACCUACCUUCACCAUAAGAAGAUCAGAGCUGCACAAGGAAUUAAAAUAUCAGCUCAGGGUCUCGAACAUGCAAUUGCUGGGACUGCUCUAUAUGCUGUACGACCUGAUGCAGAUAUAGAGGACCUGAAGGAUGCUGUAAUGGAAGAGAUGUCAAGGGUUAGGAACCGGAUUGAUAAGAGUGGCGAGGGUGUCUAUGUGCAAGCAUCUACGCUUGGGUCAUUGGAAGCUCUGACUGAGUUCUUGAAGAGCCCUGCUGUGAAUAUCCCCUUCUGUGAUUUCAGCAUAGGCCCAGUGCACAAGAAAGAUGUUAUGAAGGCCAGCGUUAUGCUUGAGAGGAAGAAGGAAUAUGCAACUAUCUUGGCGUUUGAUGUCAAAGUGAUGCCUGAUGCCCGUGAUCUUGCAGAAGAGUCUGGUGUGAAGAUCUUCGUGGCAGAUAUAAUAUACCACCUUUUUGACCAAUUUACAGCGUACAUUAAGAACAUAAGGGAAGAGAAGAAGAAGGACAGCGCCGAAGAAGCUGUUUUCCCCUGUGUUCUUAAGAUCAUGCCGAACUGUGUCUUCAACAAGAAGGAUCCAAUCGUUUUGGGUGUCGAUAUCCUCGAAGGAAUAGCAAAGGUGGGAACGCCUCUGUGCAUACCCUCGAAAGAAUUUAUUGAUAUUGGGAAGAUUGCCUCCAUUGAAAUUAAUCACAAGCAAGUUGAUACAGCCACAAAAGGGCAAAAGGUGGCUAUAAAGAUCAUUGGGAGCAACUCUGAUGAGCAGCAGAAGAGCUUUGGCAGGCACUUUGAGAUGGAAGACGAGCUCGUCAGCCACAUCACAAGGCGGUCCAUCGACCUUCUCAAAGAAAACUACAGGGAUGACUUGACGAUGGACGACUGGAAACUUGUGAUGAAGCUGAAGAAGAUACUGAGUAUCCCAUGA